This 406-nucleotide ribosomal RNA is filed under the name uncultured bacterium. RNAcentral describes it as "bacterial SSU rRNA". It matches the Rfam family "Bacterial small subunit ribosomal RNA", at positions 28 to 416 of the family's 1533-position model. The record is from RNAcentral.
AGCGAACGCUGGCGGCGUACUUAACACAUGCAAGUCGAACGGGGAUCGUCGGGUUAGCAAUAAUUCGGCGGUCCUAGUGGCGCACGGGUGAGUAACACGUGGGUAACCUGCCCUUGAGUUCGGGAUACCCCCUCGAAAGGGGGGCGUAAUACCGGAUACGUUCCUUGGAUCGACAGGUCUGAGGAGGAAAGGUGGCGCAAGCUGCCGCUCUUGGAGGGGCUCGCGGCCUAUCAGCUAGUUGGCGGGGUAACGGCCCACCAAGGCUAUGACGGGUAGCUGGUCUGAGAGGACGACCAGUCACACGGGGACUGAGACACGGCCCCGACUCCUACGGGAGGCAGCAGUGGGGAAUUUUGGACAAUGGGGGUAACCCUGAUCCAGCCAUGCCGCGUGCGGGAAGAAGGCC